UACGGAGGGGGCUAGCGUUGUUCGGAAUUACUGGGCGUAAAGCGCACGUAGGUGGCUUUGUAAGUUAGAGGCGAAAGCCCGGGGCUCAACUCCGGAAUUGCCUUUAAGACUGCAUCGCUAGAACGUCGGAGAGGUAAGUGGAAUUCCGAGUGUAGAGGUGAAAUUCGUAGAUAUUCGGAAGAACACCAGUGGCGAAGGCGACUUACUGGACGACUGUUGACACUGAGGUGCGAAAGCGUGGGGAGCAAACAGG
Molecule: ribosomal RNA, 253 nt
Filed under: uncultured bacterium
Lineage: Bacteria
Description: partial 16S ribosomal RNA
Rfam family: Bacterial small subunit ribosomal RNA
Source: RNAcentral